Molecule: ribosomal RNA, 508 nt
Filed under: uncultured bacterium
Lineage: Bacteria
Description: partial 16S ribosomal RNA
Rfam family: Bacterial small subunit ribosomal RNA
Source: RNAcentral
GAUGAACGCUAGCUACAGGCUUAACACAUGCAAGUCGAGGGGAAACGACAUCGAAAGCUUGCUUUUGAUGGGCGUCGACCGGCGCACGGGAGAGUAACGCGUAUCCAACCUGCCCACCACUUGGGGAUAACCUUGGGAAAGUAAGACUAAUACCCAAUGAUAUCUCUAGAAGACAUCUGAAAGAGAUCAAAGAUUUAUCGGUGAUGGAUGGGGAUGCGUCUGAUUGGCUUGUUGGCGGGGUAACGGACCACCAAGGCGACGAUCAGUAGGGGUUCUGAGAGGAAGGUCCCCCACAUUGGAACUGAGACACGGUCCAAACUCCUACGGGAGGCAGCAGUGAGGAAUAUUGGUCAAUGGGCGAGAGCCUGAACCAGCCAAGUAGCGUGCAGGAUGACGGCCCUAUGGGUUGUAAACUGCUUUUAUAAGGGAAUAAAGUGAGUCUCGUGAGACUUUUUGCAUGUACCUUAUGAAUAAGGACCGGCUAAUUCCGUGCCAGCCGCCGCCGUAA